Molecule: unclassified non-coding RNA, 25 nt
Filed under: Mus musculus (house mouse)
Lineage: Eukaryota; Metazoa; Chordata; Mammalia; Rodentia; Muridae
Description: oocyte_clustered_small_RNA5150
Source: RNAcentral
UCCCAGAUGUCCUUGAAUUCGGAGA